RNAcentral lists this ribosomal RNA (497 nucleotides) under uncultured bacterium. RNAcentral describes it as "partial 16S ribosomal RNA". It matches the Rfam family "Bacterial small subunit ribosomal RNA", at positions 28 to 507 of the family's 1533-position model. The record is from RNAcentral.
GAUGAACGCUGGCGGCGUGCCUAAUACAUGCAAGUCGAGCGAACAGACGAGGAGCUUGCUCCUCUGACGUUAGCGGCGGACGGGUGAGUAACACGUGGAUAACCUACCUAUAAGACUGGGAUAACUUCGGGAAACCGGAGCUAAUACCGGAUAAUAUAUUGAACCGCAUGGUUCAAUAGUGAAAGACGGUUUUGCUGUCACUUAUAGAUGGAUCCGCGCCGCAUUAGCUAGUUGGUAAGGUAACGGCUUACCAAGGCGACGAUGCGUAGCCGACCUGAGAGGGUGAUCGGCCACACUGGACCUGAGACACGGUCCAGACUCCUACGGGAGGCAGCAGUAGGGAAGCUUCCGCAAUGGGCGAAAGCCUGACGGAGCAACGCCGCGUGAGUGAUGAAGGUCUUCGGAUCGUAAAACUCUGUUAUUAGGGAAGAACAAAUGUGUAAGUAACUAUGCACGUCUUGACGGUACCUAAUCAGAAAGCCACGGCUAACUACGUG